Molecule: non-coding RNA, 125 nt
Organism: Triticum aestivum (bread wheat)
Lineage: Eukaryota; Viridiplantae; Streptophyta; Magnoliopsida; Poales; Poaceae
Source: Rfam
AUAAUACUCCCUCCAUCCGGAAAUACUUGUCGGCGAAAUGGAUAAAACUAGAUGUAUCUAUAACUAAAAUACAUCUAGAUACAUCCAUUUCUCCGACAAGUAUUUUUGGACGGAGGGAGUAUUUU